AGCGAACGCUGGCGGCAGGCUUAACACAUGCCAGUCGAGCGGGCACUUUCGGGUGUCAGCGGCGGACGGGUGAGUAACGCGUGGGAACGUGCCCUCUGGUUCGGAAUAACUCAGGGAAACUUGAGCUAAUACCGGAUACGCCCUCUUGGGGAAAGGCUGGCGGCCGGAGGAUCGGUCCGCGUCUGAUUAGCUAGUUGGUGAGGUAACGGCUCACCAAGGCGACGAUCAGUAGCUGGUCCGAGCGGAUGAUCAGCCACGCUGGGACUGAGACACGGCCCCGUCUCCUACGGGAGGCAGCGGUGGGGAAUAUUGGGCGAUGGGCGCAAGCCUAAUCCAGCCAUGCCGCGUGAGUGAUGAAGGCCUUAGGGUUGUAAAGCUCUUUGAUCCGGGACGAUAAUGACGGUACCGGAGGAAUAAGCCCCGGCUAACUUCGUG
Molecule: ribosomal RNA, 435 nt
Filed under: uncultured bacterium
Lineage: Bacteria
Description: partial 16S ribosomal RNA
Rfam family: Bacterial small subunit ribosomal RNA
Source: RNAcentral